This 253-nucleotide ribosomal RNA is filed under the name uncultured prokaryote. RNAcentral's name for it is "partial 16S ribosomal RNA". It matches the Rfam family "Bacterial small subunit ribosomal RNA", at positions 524 to 776 of the family's 1533-position model. The record is from RNAcentral.
UACAGAGGUCCCGAGCGUUGUUCGGAUUCAUUGGGCGUAAAGGGUGCGUAGGCGGUCUGCUAAGUUUGAUGUGAAAUUCCGGGGCUCAACCCUGGCAUGGCAUUGAAUACUGGCGGACUAGAGUACUGGAGAGGAAACUGGAAUUCACGGUGUAGCAGUGAAAUGCGUAGAUAUCGUGAGGAAGACCAGUGGCGAAGGCGGGUCUCUGGACAGUUCCUGACGCUGAGGCGCGAAGGCCAGGGGAGCAAACGGG